Molecule: ribosomal RNA, 30 nt
Filed under: Halomonhystera disjuncta
Lineage: Eukaryota; Metazoa; Nematoda; Chromadorea; Monhysterida; Monhysteridae
Description: partial 28S ribosomal RNA
Source: RNAcentral
CUGUUACUGUAAAUACAGCCUUGAAUCAGA